This 27-nucleotide non-coding RNA is filed under the name Cricetulus griseus (Chinese hamster). Lineage: Eukaryota; Metazoa; Chordata; Mammalia; Rodentia; Cricetidae. The record is from RNAcentral.
UGGUGGUAGCCUCUCUGCCUCGGGUGC